Molecule: long non-coding RNA, 1234 nt
Filed under: Malus domestica (apple)
Lineage: Eukaryota; Viridiplantae; Streptophyta; Magnoliopsida; Rosales; Rosaceae
Description: long non-coding RNA (MDOM_LNC008047)
Source: RNAcentral
UUGAGGGUUGUGGAGUGUAGCUAGUAUUGAACAUGGAGAUCAAUUAUGCUCUGGCAUUGCUCUUAGUCCUCAUUCUCAACUUGGGUAGUUUGCUCACUUCUCUUGCUAACUCCUAUUGCCCACCACCAACAUACCCUCCAGUUCCUCACUUGCCACCCAAACACCCUCCCCAUGUAACUCCACCCUUCCACCCUAAACCACCAAAGAAGCCACCACCAUAUGUCAAACCACCUCAUGCAAAGCCUCCUCCUCAUGUACCAAUCAAACCCCCUCAUGUUAAACCACCCAUUGUAAAACCACCUCCUUAUCCGAAACCUCCAGUUGCCAAACCACCUCCCCAUCCCAAACCUCCUGUUGUCAAACCACCUCCCCAUCCCAAACCUCCUGUUGUCAAACCACCUCCCCAUCCCAAACCUCCUGUUGUCAAACCACCUCCCUAUCCCAAACCUCCUGUUGUCAAACCACCUCACCUAUCCCAAACCUCCUGUUGUCAAACCACCCUCCCUAUCCCAAACCUCCUGUUGUCAAACCACCUCCCUAUCCCAAACCUCCUGUUGUCAAACCACCUCACCAUCCCAAGCCUCCUGUUGUCAAACCACCUCCCCAUCCCAAACCUCCUGUUGUCAAGCCUCCAGUUGUCAAACCACCUCCCCAUCCCAAACCACCAGUUGUACUGCCUCCACCAUAUACCCCGAAGCCCCGGUUGUACUGCCUUCCACCAUAUACCCCGAAGCCCCCGGUUGUGCUGCCUCCACCAUAUACCCCGAAGCCCCCGGUUGUGGCCUCCACCAUAUCCCCCGAACCCCCCCGGUGUAUGUGCUGCCUCCACCAUAUACCCCGAAGCCCCCGGUUGUACUGCCUCCACCAUAUACCCCGAAGCCCCCGGUUGUACUGCCUCCACCAUAUACCCCGAAGCCCCCGGUUGUACUGCCUCCACCAUAUACCCCGAAGCCCCCGGUUGUACUGCCUCCACCAUAUACCCCGAAGCCCCCAGUUGUACUGCCUCCACCAUAUACCCCCAAGCCCCCAGUUGUACUGCCUCCACCAUAUACCCCCAAGCCCCCAGUUGUACUGCCUCCACCUUCACCACCUGUUGUAGUGCCAAGCCCACCAUCAACACCAACCCCAACCCCAGUUGUCCCAGUGAAGCCUCCUCCACCCACUGAAACACCAUGCCCUCCUCCACCACCAAAGGUAGUACCACCCCCAACAUCACCACCUCCAAAGUCGCCAC